This 388-nucleotide ribosomal RNA is filed under the name uncultured bacterium. RNAcentral describes it as "bacterial SSU rRNA". It matches the Rfam family "Bacterial small subunit ribosomal RNA", at positions 28 to 416 of the family's 1533-position model. The record is from RNAcentral.
GACGAACGCUGGCGGCGUGCUUAACGCAUGCAAGUCGAGCGGUAAGGCCCUUUCGGGGGUACGACGAGCGGCGAACGGGUGAGUAACACGUGGGUGACCUGCCCUCAGCUCUGGGAUAAGCCUGGGAAACCGGGUCUAAUACCGGAUAUGACUCCAUGACGCAUGUUGUGGGGUGGAAAGCCUUGUGCGGCUGAGGAUGGGCCCGCGGCCUAUCAGCUUGUUGGUGGGGUGAUGGCCUACCAAGGCGACGACGGGUAGCCGGCCUGAGAGGGCGACCGGCCACACUGGGACUGAGACACGGCCCAGACUCCUACGGGAGGCAGCAGUGGGGAAUCUUGCGCAAUGGGCGAAAGCCUGACGCAGCGACGCCGCGUGAGGGAUGACGGCC